AGUACACGAGCAACGGAAGUUAAAAAAUCGGGCAAGAUUGAACGCAAAGGCAAGCGGGACAUUUGAGGAUGGGGUGACUGCGUACCUUUUGUAUAAUGGGUCAGCGACUUAUAUUCUGUAGCAAGGUUAACCGUAUAGGGGAGCCGUAGGGAAACCGAGUCUUAACUGGGCGAAUGAGUUGCAGGGUAUAGACCCGAAACCCGGUGAUCUAUCCAUGGGCAGGUUGAAGGUUGGGUAACACUAACUGGAGGACCGAACCGACUAAUGUUGAAAAAUUAGCGGAUGACUUGUGGAUGGGGGUGAAAGGCCAAUCAAACCGGGAGAUAGCUGGUUCUCCCCGAAAGCUAUUUAGGUAGCGCCUCGUGAACUCAUCUUCGGGGGUAGAGCACUGUUUCGACUAGGGGGUCAUCCCGACUUACCAACUCGAUGCAAACUGCGAAUACCGAAGAAUGUUAUCACGGGAGACACACGGCGGGUGCUAACGUCCGUCGUGAAGAGGGAAACAACCCAGACCGCCAGCUAAGGUCCCAAAGUCAUGGUUAAGUGGGAAACGAAGUGGGAAGGCUCAGACAGCCAGGAUGUUGGCUUAGAAGCAGCCAUCAUUUAAAGAAAGCGUAAUAGCUCACUGGUCGAGUCGGCCCGCGCGGAAGAUGUAACGGGGCUAAACCAUGCACCGAAGCUGCGGCAGCGACACAAAGUGUUGUUGGGUAGGGGAGCGUUCUGUAAGCCUGCGAAGGUAUACUGUGAGGUAUGCUGGAGGUAUCAGAAGUGCGAAUGCUGACAUAAGUAACGAUAAUGCGGGUGAAAAACCCGCACGCCGGAAGACCAAGGGUUCCUGUCCAACGUUAAUCGGGGCAGGGUGAGUCGACCCCUAAGGCGAGGCUGAAAAGCGUAGUCGAUGGGAAACGGGUUAAUAUUCCCGUACUGGUGGUAACUGCGAUGGGGGAACGGAGAAGGCUAGGUUGUCCGGGCGACGGUCGUCCCGGUUCAAGCAGGUAGGCAGAGUGAUUAGGCAAAUCCGGUCACUUAAUGCUGAGAUGUGAUGACGAACCACCAAGGUGGUGAAGCAAUUGAUGCCCCGCUUCCAGGAAAAGCCUCUAAGCUUCAGGUUACCAACAAUCGUACCCCAAACCGACACAGGUGGUCAGGUAGAGAAUACUCAGGCGCUUGAGAGAACUCGGGUGAAGGAACUAGGCAAAAUGGUGCCGUAACUUCGGGAGAAGGCACGCUGGCGGUAGGUAAAGUCCCUUGCGGACGGCGCUGAAGCCAGUCGAAGAUACCAGCUGGCUGCAACUGUUUAUUAAAAACACAGCACUGUGCAAACACGAAAGUGGACGUAUACGGUGUGACGCCUGCCCGGUGCUGGAAGGUUAAUUGAUGGGGUCAGCCGUAAGGCGAAGCUCCUGAUCGAAGCCCCAGUAAACGGCGGCCGUAACUAUAACGGUCCUAAGGUAGCGAAAUUCCUUGUCGGGUAAGUUCCGACCUGCACGAAUGGCGUAAUGAUGGCCAGGCUGUCUCCACCCGAGACUCAGUGAAAUUGAACUCGCUGUGAAGAUGCAGUGUACCCGCGGCAAGACGGAAAGACCCCGUGAACCUUUACUAUAGCUUGACACUGAACAUUGAGCCUUGAUGUGUAGGAUAGGUGGGAGGCUUUGAAGUGUGGACGCCAGUCUGCAUGGAGCCAACCUUGAAAUACCACCCUUUAACGUUUGAUGUUCUAACCUAGGCCCAUAAACUGGGUCGGGGACCGUGUCUGGUGGGUAGUUUGACUGGGGCGGUCUCCUCCUAAAGAGUAACGGAGGAGCACGAAGGUUGGCUAAGCAUGGUCGGACAUCAUGCGGUUAGUGCAAAGGCAUAAGCCAGCUUGACUGCGAGAGUGACGGCUCGAGCAGGUACGAAAGUAGGUCUUAGUGAUCCGGUGGUUCUGAAUGGAAGGGCCAUCGCUCAACGGAUAAAAGGUACUCCGGGGAUAACAGGCUGAUACCGCCCAAGAGUUCAUAUCGACGGCGGUGUUUGGCACCUCGAUGUCGGCUCAUCACAUCCUGGGGCUGAAGUAGGUCCCAAGGGUAUGGCUGUUCGCCAUUUAAAGUGGUACGCGAGCUGGGUUUAGAACGUCGUGAGACAGUUCGGUCCCUAUCUGCCGUGGGCGUUGGAAGAUUGAGAGGGGUUGCUCCUAGUACGAGAGGACCGGAGUGAACGCACCACUGGUGUUCGGGUUGUCAUGCCAAUGGCAUUGCCCGGUAGCUAAGUGCGGAAGAGAUAACCGCUGAAAGCAUCUAAGCGGGAAACUUGCCUCGAGAUGAGUCUUCCCUGUCACUUUAAGUGACCUAAAGGAACGUUUAAGACUAAGACGUUGAUAGGCUGGGUGUGUAAGCGUAGCGAUACGUUGAGCUAACCAGUACUAAUGAACCGUGAGGCUUAACCU
RNAcentral lists this ribosomal RNA (2425 nucleotides) under Proteus mirabilis. RNAcentral describes it as "bacterial LSU rRNA". It matches the Rfam family "Bacterial large subunit ribosomal RNA", at positions 520 to 2925 of the family's 2925-position model. RNAcentral also lists the same sequence under 1 other name. The record is from RNAcentral. Lineage: Bacteria; Pseudomonadati; Pseudomonadota; Gammaproteobacteria; Enterobacterales; Morganellaceae.